RNAcentral lists this ribosomal RNA (489 nucleotides) under uncultured bacterium. RNAcentral's name for it is "partial 16S ribosomal RNA". It matches the Rfam family "Bacterial small subunit ribosomal RNA", at positions 30 to 507 of the family's 1533-position model. The record is from RNAcentral.
AUUGAACGCUGGCGGCAGGCCUAACACAUGCAAGUCGAAUGGUAACAGGAAACAGCUUGCUGUUUCGCUGACGAGUGGCGGACGGGUGAGUAAUGUCUGGGAAACUGCCUGAUGGAGGGGGAUAACUACUGGAAACGGUAGCUAAUACCGCAUAACGUCGCAAGACCAAAGAGGGGGACCUUCGGGCCUCUUGCCAUCAGAUGUGCCAGAUGGGAUUAGCUAGUAGGUGGGGUAACGGCUCACCUAGGCGACGAUCCCUAGCUGGUCUGAGAGGAUGACCAGCCACACUGGAACUGAGACACGGUCCAGACUCCUACGGGAGGCAGCAGUGGGGAAUAUUGCACAAUGGGCGCAAGCCUGAUGCAGCCAUGCCGCGUGUAUGAAGAAGGCCUUCGGGUUGUAAAGUACUUUCAGCGGGGAGGAAGGGAGUAAAGUUAAUACCUUUGCUCAUUGACGUUACCCGCAGAAGAAGCACCGGCUAACUCCGUG